Molecule: unclassified non-coding RNA, 320 nt
Filed under: plant metagenome
Description: partial contains 5.8S ribosomal RNA, internal transcribed spacer 2, and large subunit ribosomal RNA
Rfam family: 5.8S ribosomal RNA (bases 1-105)
Source: RNAcentral
GAAAUGCGAUAAGUAAUGUGAAUUGCAGAAUUCAGUGAAUCAUCGAAUCUUUGAACGCACAUUGCGCCCGCCAGUAUUCUGGCGGGCAUGCCUGUUCGAGCGUCAUUACAACCCUCAGGCCCCCGGGCCUGGCGUUGGGGAUCGGCGGAAGCCCCCUGCGGGCACAACGCCGUCCCCCAAAUACAGUGGCGGUCCCGCCGCAGCUUCCAUUGCGUAGUAGCUAACACCUCGCAACUGGAGAGCGGCGCGGCCACGCCGUAAAACACCCAACUUCUCAAUGUUGACCUCGCAUCAGGUAGGAAUACCCGCUGAACUUAAGC